GGGUUGUGAGGUUAAGCGACUAAGCGUACACGGUGGAUGCCCUGGCAGUCAGAGGCGAUGAAGGACGUGCUAAUCUGCGAAAAGCGCCGGCGAGGUGAUAUGAACCUUUGACCCGGCGAUGUCCGAAUGGGGAAACCCAGUGUGUUCCGACACACUAUCGUUAACUGAAUACAUAGGUUAACGAGGCGAACCGGGGGAACUGAAACAUCUAAGUACCCCGAGGAAAAGAAAUCAACCGAGAUUCCCCCAGUAGCGGCGAGCGAACGGGGAGCAGCCCAGAGUCUGAAUCAGCUUGUGUGUUAGUGGAAGCGUCUGGAAAGUCGCACGGUACAGGGUGACAGUCCCGUACACGAAAGCACACAGGUUGUGAACUCGAAGAGUAGGGCGGGACACGUGGUAUCCUGUCUGAAUAUGGGGGGACCAUCCUCCAAGGCUAAAUACUCCUGACUGACCGAUAGUGAACCAGUACCGUGAGGGAAAGGCGAAAAGAACCCCGGCGAGGGGAGUGAAAAAGAACCUGAAACCGUGUACGUACAAGCAGUGGGAGCACCUUCGUGGUGUGACUGCGUACCUUUUGUAUAAUGGGUCAGCGACUUAUAUUCUGUAGCAAGGUUAACCGUAUAGGGGAGCCGAAGGGAAACCGAGUCUUAACUGGGCGUUAAGUUGCAGGGUAUAGACCCGAAACCCGGUGAUCUAGCCAUGGGCAGGUUGAAGGUUGGGUAACACUAACUGGAGGACCGAACCGACUAAUGUUGAAAAAUUAGCGGAUGACUUGUGGCUGGGGGUGAAAGGCCAAUCAAACCGGGAGAUAGCUGGUUCUCCCCGAAAGCUAUUUAGGUAGCGCCUCGUGAACUCAUCUUCGGGGGUAGAGCACUGUUUCGGCUAGGGGGCCAUCCCGGCUUACCAACCCGAUGCAAACUACGAAUACCGAAGAAUGUUAUCACGGGAGACACACGGCGGGUGCUAACGUCCGUCGUGAAGAGGGAAACAACCCAGACCGCCAGCUAAGGUCCCAAAGUCAUGGUUAAGUGGGAAACGAUGUGGGAAGGCACAGACAGCCAGGAUGUUGGCUUAGAAGCAGCCAUCAUUUAAAGAAAGCGUAAUAGCUCACUGGUCGAGUCGGCCUGCGCGGAAGAUGUAACGGGGCUAAACCAUGCACCGAAGCUGCGGCAGCGACGCUUAUGCGUUGUUGGGUAGGGGAGCGUUCUGUAAGCCGUUGAAGGUGGCCUGUGAGGGUUGCUGGAGGUAUCAGAAGUGCGAAUGCUGACAUAAGUAACGAUAAAGCGGGUGAAAAGCCCGCUCGCCGGAAGACCAAGGGUUCCUGUCCAACGUUAAUCGGGGCAGGGUGAGUCGACCCCUAAGGCGAGGCCGAAAGGCGUAGUCGAUGGGAAACAGGUUAAUAUUCCUGUACUUGGUGUUGCUGCGAAGGGGGGACGGAGAAGGCUAUGUUAGCCGGGCGACGGUUGUCCCGGUUUAAGCAUGUAGGCGGAGGUUCCAGGUAAAUCCGGUACCUUUUAACGCUGAGGUGUGAUGACGAGGCACUACGGUGCUGAAGUAACAAAUGCCCUGCUUCCAGGAAAAGCCUCUAAGCAUCAGGUAACACGAAAUCGUACCCCAAACCGACACAGGUGGUCAGGUAGAGAAUACCAAGGCGCUUGAGAGAACUCGGGUGAAGGAACUAGGCAAAAUGGUGCCGUAACUUCGGGAGAAGGCACGCUGAUAUGUAGGUGAAGCCCCUGCGGGUGGAGCUGAAAUCAGUCGAAGAUACCAGCUGGCUGCAACUGUUUAUUAAAAACACAGCACUGUGCAAACACGAAAGUGGACGUAUACGGUGUGACGCCUGCCCGGUGCCGGAAGGUUAAUUGAUGGGGUUAGCGGCAACGCGAAGCUCUUGAUCGAAGCCCCGGUAAACGGCGGCCGUAACUAUAACGGUCCUAAGGUAGCGAAAUUCCUUGUCGGGUAAGUUCCGACCUGCACGAAUGGCGUAAUGAUGGCCAGGCUGUCUCCACCCGAGACUCAGUGAAAUUGAACUCGCUGUGAAGAUGCAGUGUACCCGCGGCAAGACGGAAAGACCCCGUGAACCUUUACUAUAGCUUGACACUGAACACUGGUCCUUGAUGUGUAGGAUAGGUGGGAGGCUUUGAAGCGUGGACGCCAGUCUGCGUGGAGCCGUCCUUGAAAUACCACCCUUUAAUGGCUGGUGUUCUAACGUAGACCCGUGAUCCGGGUUGCGGACAGUGUCUGGUGGGUAGUUUGACUGGGGCGGUCUCCUCCCAAAGAGUAACGGAGGAGCACGAAGGUUAGCUAAUCCUGGUCGGACAUCAGGAGGUUAGUGCAAUGGCAUAAGCUAGCUUGACUGCGAGAGUGACGGCUCGAGCAGGUGCGAAAGCAGGUCAUAGUGAUCCGGUGGUUCUGAAUGGAAGGGCCAUCGCUCAACGGAUAAAAGGUACUCCGGGGAUAACAGGCUGAUACCGCCCAAGAGUUCAUAUCGACGGCGGUGUUUGGCACCUCGAUGUCGGCUCAUCACAUCCUGGGGCUGAAGUAGGUCCCAAGGGUAUGGCUGUUCGCCAUUUAAAGUGGUACGCGAGCUGGGUUUAGAACGUCGUGAGACAGUUCGGUCCCUAUCUGCCGUGGGCGCUGGAGAAUUGAGGGGGGCUGCUCCUAGUACGAGAGGACCGGAGUGGACGCAUCACUGGUGUUCGGGUUGUCAUGCCAAUGGCACUGCCCGGUAGCUAAAUGCGGAAAAGAUAAGUGCUGAAAGCAUCUAAGCACGAAACUUGCCCCGAGAUGAGUUCUCCCUGACCCUUUAAGGGUCCUGAAGGAACGUUGAAGACGACGACGUUGAUAGGUCGGGUGUGUAAGCGCAGCGAUGCGUUGAGCUAACCGAUACUAAUGAACCGUGAGGCUUAACCUUACAACGCCGAAGCUGUU
RNAcentral lists this ribosomal RNA (2931 nucleotides) under Enterobacter chengduensis. Its description in RNAcentral is "23S ribosomal RNA". It matches the Rfam family "Bacterial large subunit ribosomal RNA". Lineage: Bacteria; Pseudomonadati; Pseudomonadota; Gammaproteobacteria; Enterobacterales; Enterobacteriaceae. The record is from RNAcentral.